This 74-nucleotide transfer RNA is filed under the name Gammaproteobacteria bacterium. RNAcentral describes it as "tRNA-Gly". It matches the Rfam family "tRNA". From Rfam's summary of the family: Transfer RNA (tRNA) molecules are approximately 80 nucleotides in length. Their secondary structure includes four short double-helical elements and three loops (D, anti-codon, and T loops). Further hydrogen bonds mediate the characteristic L-shaped molecular structure. tRNAs have two regions of fundamental functional importance: the anti-codon, which is responsible for specific mRNA codon recognition, and the 3' end, to which the tRNAs corresponding amino acid is attached (by aminoacyl-tRNA synthetases). tRNAs cope with the degeneracy of the genetic code in two manners: having more than one tRNA (with a specific anti-codon) for a particular amino acid; and 'wobble' base-pairing, i.e. permitting non-standard base-pairing at the 3rd anti-codon position. The record is from RNAcentral. RNAcentral also lists the same sequence under 3 other names. Lineage: Bacteria; Pseudomonadati; Pseudomonadota; Gammaproteobacteria.
GCGGGUGUAGUUCAAUGGUAGAACUUCAGUUUUCCAAACUGAUAGCGUGGGUUCGAUUCCCAUCACCCGCUCCA